Molecule: ribosomal RNA, 484 nt
Filed under: uncultured bacterium
Lineage: Bacteria
Description: partial 16S ribosomal RNA
Rfam family: Bacterial small subunit ribosomal RNA
Source: RNAcentral
GACGAACGCUGGCGGCGUGCUUAACACAUGCAAGUCGAACGAUGAAGCCGGAGCUUGCUCUGGUGGAUUAGUGGCGAACGGGUGAGUAACACGUGAGUAACCUGCCCUUGACUCUGGGAUAAGCGUUGGAAACGACGUCUAAUACCGGAUACGAGCUAGGACCGCAUGGUCACUAGCUGGAAAGAACUUCGGUCAAGGAUGGACUCGCGGCCUAUCAGUUAGUUGGUGAGGUAACGGCUCACCAAGACGACGACGGGUAGCCGGCCUGAGAGGGUGACCGGCCACACUGGGACUGAGACACGGCCCAGACUCCUACGGGAGGCAGCAGUGGGGAAUAUUGCACAAUGGGCGCAAGCCUGAUGCAGCAACGCCGCGUGAGGGACGACGGCCUUCGGGUUGUAAACCUCUUUUAGCAGGGAAGAAGCGCAAGUGACGGUACCUGCAGAAAAAGCACCGGCUAACUACGUGCCAGCCGCCGCAGUAA